Molecule: ribosomal RNA, 445 nt
Filed under: uncultured bacterium
Lineage: Bacteria
Description: bacterial SSU rRNA
Rfam family: Bacterial small subunit ribosomal RNA
Source: RNAcentral
CCAGACUCCUACGGGAGGCAGCAGUGGGGGAUAUUGCACAAUGGGGGGAACCCUGAUGCAGCGACGCCGCGUGGGUGAAGGAGUGCUUCGGCAUGUAAAGCCCUAUCGGCAGGGAAGAAGCAAGACGGUACCUGACUAAGAAGCCCCGGCUAACUACGUGCCAGCAGCCGCGGGAAUACGUAGGGGGCGAGCGUUAUCCGGAUUCACUGGGUGUAAAGGGAGCGUAGGCGGCGCGUUAAGUCUGAUGUGAAAACCCGAGGCUCAACCACGGGAGUGCAUUGGAAACUGGCGGGCUGGAGUGCCGGAGAGGUAAGCGGAAUUCCUAGUGUAGCGGUGAAAUGCGUAGAUAUUAGGAGGAACACCAGUGGCGAAGGCGGCUUACUGGACGGCAACUGACGCUGAGGCUCGAAAGCGUGGGGAGCAAACAGGAUUAGAUACCCGCGUA